UACUGAAAUCUACAGUUGGUUGUCCAAAGCCAGGAGCACACUCUAAAGUCACUAAUUGUGGUGUUUCCUCAUUGAUCUCCACAGGGCAGAGUUGGGCCCCAGCUGAAAGCUUGUGAAAAUGCUGCUCUGCUGUUGUGGAUCUGGUCCCAUCACCUCCUGUGAACUCGCUGAUACCUCACCACUGUAAGAGACAGCAAGAUCUGGCAGCUCUGUGCAUCUCCAGUAUCUCCAGCAUGUUCCCCUUCAAUUGCUUCUUUUCAAGUGAAAAGGGCUCAUCUCUCCUGCUGCUACAGCCAUUUUAAAUGUGUCACCUUGGAGUUCCCUAGUUCUGAAGGGAAAGAAGAGCAAUGGGAUGGGUAAGACUGCAACUGGCUUCAAGAUAGUACCACAUCAUUAAAGUACAUUGUGGCACAGCAGUGUUUUCUUAAUACCUUCUAUCAGCCUCCUGGCCUUUCUGGCCUCUGCAGGACACUGUGUAGCAGGAGGGAGACAUGCUGCAUCCAGGCUGCACAGUUCUAGGAAGGUCUUUGGGGUUUACAGCCACAGGCUGAUGAAACUGUAAAAGAAGGACAGUCAAAGCUUUGGCAGCUUGGAGAACAGCAGUGUCUAAGGGCAGAGAGAAUUCUGUUCUAGCAUGACAUUUGGGUGAGAUUCACAAAGGGAAGGAGUUAAAAAC
Molecule: long non-coding RNA, 676 nt
Filed under: Ficedula albicollis (Collared flycatcher)
Lineage: Eukaryota; Metazoa; Chordata; Aves; Passeriformes; Muscicapidae
Description: lncRNA (ENSFALG00000024736.1)
Source: RNAcentral